RNAcentral lists this ribosomal RNA (409 nucleotides) under bacterium enrichment culture clone ALO1_GLFRUDD03FTYWH. RNAcentral's name for it is "bacterial SSU rRNA". It matches the Rfam family "Bacterial small subunit ribosomal RNA", at positions 9 to 416 of the family's 1533-position model. The record is from RNAcentral.
GAGUUUGAUCUUGGCUCAGAUUGAACGCUGGCGGCAUGCCUUACACAUGCAAGUCGAACGGCAGCACGGGAGCUUGCCCCUGGUGGCGAGUGGCGAACGGGUGAGUAAUGCAUCGGAACGUAUCCUGGAGUGGGGGAUAACGUAGCGAAAGUUACGCUAAUACCGCAUAUUCUGUGAGCAGGAAAGCGGGGGACCUUCGGGCCUCGCGCUCUUGGAGCGGCCGAUGUCGGAUUAGCUAGUUGGUGAGGUAAAGGCUCACCAAGGCGACGAUCCGUAGCAGGUCUGAGAGGAUGAUCUGCCACACUGGAACUGAGACACGGUCCAGACUCCUACGGGAGGCAGCAGUGGGGAAUUUUGGACAAUGGGGGCAACCCCUGAUCCAGCCAUCGCCGCGUGAGUGAAGAAGGCC